RNAcentral lists this ribosomal RNA (681 nucleotides) under Lactiplantibacillus plantarum. RNAcentral's name for it is "bacterial SSU rRNA". It matches the Rfam family "Bacterial small subunit ribosomal RNA", at positions 56 to 703 of the family's 1533-position model. Lineage: Bacteria; Bacillati; Bacillota; Bacilli; Lactobacillales; Lactobacillaceae. The record is from RNAcentral.
UGCAGUCGAACGAACUCUGGUAUUGAUUGGUGCUUGCAUCAUGAUUUACAUUUGAGUGAGUGGCGAACUGGUGAGUAACACGUGGGAAACCUGCCCAGAAGCGGGGGAUAACACCUGGAAACAGAUGCUAAUACCGCAUAACAACUUGGACCGCAUGGUCCGAGCUUGAAAGAUGGCUUCGGCUAUCACUUUUGGAUGGUCCCGCGGCGUAUUAGCUAGAUGGUGGGGUAACGGCUCACCAUGGCAAUGAUACGUAGCCGACCUGAGAGGGUAAUCGGCCACAUUGGGACUGAGACACGGCCCAAACUCCUACGGGAGGCAGCAGUAGGGAAUCUUCCACAAUGGACGAAAGUCUGAUGGAGCAACGCCGCGUGAGUGAAGAAGGGUUUCGGCUCGUAAAACUCUGUUGUUAAAGAAGAACAUAUCUGAGAGUAACUGUUCAGGUAUUGACGGUAUUUAACCAGAAAGCCACGGCUAACUACGUGCCAGCAGCCGCGGUAAUACGUAGGUGGCAAGCGUUGUCCGGAUUUAUUGGGCGUAAAGCGAGCGCAGGCGGUUUUUUAAGUCUGAUGUGAAAGCCUUCGGCUCAACCGAAGAAGUGCAUCGGAAACUGGGAAACUUGAGUGCAGAAGAGGACAGUGGAACUCCAUGUGUAGCGGUGAAAUGCGUAGAUAUAUGGAA